Molecule: small nuclear RNA, 139 nt
Organism: Trichinella patagoniensis
Lineage: Eukaryota; Metazoa; Nematoda; Enoplea; Trichinellida; Trichinellidae
Rfam family: U12 minor spliceosomal RNA
About the family: Although the U12 sequence is very divergent from that of U2, the two are functionally analogous.
Source: Rfam
GUGCUUGAACUCUUAGAGUAAGGAAAUUAAAGACAGGAAGUGAUAUUCCUGAUUAUCACACAAUUUUUUGCGAGGGUAAAGGUCUUCCGCGGCGUUUAUCCUACUUUUGAUAAAACGCCGGCAGUGUGAGAUCUGCCCU